UCCAGAGUCCUGGGAAAGGAAGGAGGAUGGCCAUGGUGGUGGGUAACACUGGCUUUUACCAAUCGGUAUAGGAGUUUGAUACUUUAACAAAUGGAUAAUGAUCAGCUCUGCCUAGAACAUGCAAGUGAGGACAUAGCAAGAAGGCAGAUGUCUGCCAGGAAGAGAGCUCUCACCAGAAGCUGACCCCACGGGACAUUAAUCUGGGACUUGCAGCCUCCAGAACUGAAGUCGUAUGGCAUGUAAAUAAAUGCCUGAAAAUUGCACGAGCUGAAGAUGUCCGAUCUGAAUAUUAGCUUAUAAACAACACUUCAUUUUGCAAGGCACC
Prionailurus viverrinus (fishing cat) is the source of this 325-nucleotide long non-coding RNA. RefSeq lists it as uncharacterized. NCBI's taxonomy places the organism in Eukaryota, Metazoa, Chordata, Mammalia, Carnivora, Felidae. The record is from RefSeq and is a predicted model, not a curated record. The transcript has 3 exons.